UACGUAGGGGGCGAGCGUUGUUCGGAAUUACUGGGCGUAAAGCGCACGCAGGCGGCUCGUUGAAUUAGAAGUGAAAGCCCUGGGCUCAACCCGGGAAUUGCUUUUAAGACUGGCGAGCUAGAGUUCGGAAGAGGGUAGUGGAAUUCCAAGUGUAGAGGUGAAAUUCGUAGAUAUUGGGAAGAACACCGGUGGCGAAGGCGGCUACCUGGUCCGACACUGACGCUCAGGUGCGAAAGCGUGGGGAGCAAACAGG
RNAcentral lists this ribosomal RNA (253 nucleotides) under uncultured bacterium. Its description in RNAcentral is "partial 16S ribosomal RNA". It matches the Rfam family "Bacterial small subunit ribosomal RNA", at positions 524 to 776 of the family's 1533-position model. The record is from RNAcentral.